GAGCGGCGAACGGGUGAGUAACACGUGAGUAACCUGCCCCNGACUCUGGGAUAAGCCCGGGAAACUGGGUCUAAUACCGGAUAUGACACCUCCUCGCAUGGGGUGGGUGUGGAAAGUCUUUUCGGUUGGGGAUGGACUCGCGGCCUAUCAGCUUGUUGGUGGGGUAAUGGCCUACCAAGGCGACGACGGGUAGCCGGCCUGAGAGGGCGACCGGCCACACUGGGACUGAGACACGGCCCAGACUCCUACGGGAGGCAGCAGUGGGGAAUAUUGCGCAAUGGGCGAAAGCCUGACGCAGCGACGCCGCGUGGGGGAUGACGGCCUUCGGGUUGUAAACCUCUUUCAGCAGGGACGAAGUUGACGUGUACCUGCAGAAGAAGCGCCGGCUAACUACGUGCCAGCAGCCGCGGUAAUACGUAGGGCGCAAGCGUUGUCCGGAAUUAUUGGGCGUAAAGAGCUCGUAGGUGGCUUGUCACGUCGGGUGUGAAAGCUUGGGGCUUAACUCCAGGUCUGCAUC
Molecule: ribosomal RNA, 517 nt
Filed under: Streptosporangium sp. 310F03
Lineage: Bacteria; Bacillati; Actinomycetota; Actinomycetes; Streptosporangiales; Streptosporangiaceae
Description: bacterial SSU rRNA
Rfam family: Bacterial small subunit ribosomal RNA
Source: RNAcentral